CUUUGAUUUACCUUUACCCUUGGAAGAAUCUUCACUUUUACCUUUAGAUUUUUCUUCCUGUUUAGCUUUGAUCUUAUUCUUAACUUUGCCUAUCGUAUCCUUAAUUUUGUCCUUAAUAUUACUUGGUUUAAUACUCACCGGUAUAAUAUUACUUGGUUUAAUACUCUCUGGUAUAAUAUUACUUGGUUUAAUACUCUCCGGUAUAACAUUACUUGGUUUAAUACUCUCUGGUAUGCCCAACAGAGAUAGGGAUGGCGAAGCUGCCGGAGCCGCCGCAACUUUUUUACUGCCGAGCCCUGCGGCUAGGACAGUAGUGGCUGCAAUAGCAGGUAAGAGAAUCGGACUGAAUAUGAUGAAAAGAGGGGUAGAUACGGCUAAUGCCACGGCUGAACCACUGAGUGUUACACCGGCGAAGCCUAAAUAGACUACGGACGCAACGGAAGCAACAACCAUC
This 454-nucleotide long non-coding RNA is filed under the name Brassica napus (rape). Its description in RNAcentral is "long non-coding RNA (BNAP_LNC023798)". The record is from RNAcentral. Lineage: Eukaryota; Viridiplantae; Streptophyta; Magnoliopsida; Brassicales; Brassicaceae.